GAUGAACGCUGGCGGCGUGCCUAAUACAUGCAAGUCGAGCGAACAGACGAGGAGCUUGCUCCUCUGACGUUAGCGGCGGACGGGUGAGUAACACGUGGAUAACCUACCUAUUAGACUGGGAUAACUUCGGGAAACCGGAGCUAAUACCGGAUAAUAUAUUGAACCGCAUGGUUCAAUAGUGAAAGACGGUUUUGCUGUCACUUAUAGAUGGAUCCGCGCCGCAUUAGCUAGUUGGUAAGGUAACGGCUUACCAAGGCAACGAUGCGUAGCCGACCUGAGAGGGUGAUCGGCCACACUGGAACUGAGACACGGUCCAGACUCCUACGGGAGGCAGCAGUAGGGAAUCUUCCGCAAAGGGCGAAAGCCUGACGGAGCAACGCCGCGUGAGUGAUGAAGGUCUUCGGAUCGUAAAACUCUGUUAUUAGGGAAGAACAAAUGUGUAAGUAACUAUGCACGUCUUGACGGUACCUAAUCAGAAAGCCACGGCUAACUACGUG
Molecule: ribosomal RNA, 497 nt
Filed under: uncultured bacterium
Lineage: Bacteria
Description: partial 16S ribosomal RNA
Rfam family: Bacterial small subunit ribosomal RNA
Source: RNAcentral